Molecule: long non-coding RNA, 5951 nt
Organism: Diabrotica virgifera virgifera (western corn rootworm)
Lineage: Eukaryota; Metazoa; Arthropoda; Insecta; Coleoptera; Chrysomelidae
Exons: 3
Source: RefSeq, a predicted model, not a curated record
UUUUGGUCCUUACGUCCAUGGACUAUAAACGGACGUCCUUUGGACGUCCCAUGUUGGACGUCCUUCGGAAGGAAUAAAUAUGGACGUCCUUUGGACGUCCGACGUUGGACGUCCUUCGGACGGAAUAAAUAUGGACAUCCUUUGGACGUCCGACGUUGAACGUCCUUUGGACGUCCAUACUGGACGAAAUACGGACGUUUUAUGAACGCUUAUAUAAUAUAUUGGACACAUUAUACCAAUUACGGGAUCAAAUAGCAAAAUAAUUCAAUAAAAUAUUAACUUACGCGUUAACUUUACGUUAAUGAAAUACAGUCAAACCUGUCAGUAACGGCCACUAAAAUGAAAGAACUAUUGGCCGAUAUAGAAAGGUGGCCGUUAUUGCCAGUUUUUGUAGUCUAGAUAUACAGUAAAACUUGUGUUACUGGCCACCUGAUAAAAUCGGCCACCUGUACUAACGGCCGGUUUAAAUAUUCCCCAAACCAAUUAUAUCUGGACUACAAAAACUGGCAAUACCGGUCACCUUUCUAUAUCGGCCAAUAGCUUUUUCAUUUUUAGUGGCCGUUACUGACAGGUUUUACUGUAAUUGGUUUGGGGAAUUUUUAAACUGACCGUUAGUACAGGUGGCCGGUGUUUGCAGGGGGCCGGUAACACAGGUUUUACUGUAGUUUAAAUCGAAAAGAUUAAAUCUUAAUUCAAAAUUGUAUAUACAAUUAUUACAAUUAUAAACAAACUAUAUAGUUUAAUAUCCAAAACAUGUUUUUGAUUUUAUGUAAUGUAAUGAAAAUCUUAUUUGUAAAUUAUUGGUUACAAUGUUUAACAAUAGGAAAUAUUCAAGAAUAAAUAAAAUAAAAGUUUAAUCCUAACAACACAAAACAUUCCAGGAAUAUAGGUACUACCGUUCUAUUCCGUGAACAUCUAUCUGAUUAAAUUAUGGGUGGAAAGUUACCACAAGAUAUUCUAUGAACAUAGUACAAUGUCUUCCUGGAGGGGUAAAAUUUUCCAUUACAAGAUUUUAAGAGAGGCCAUUCGCCAUUUACUGUUCAAUUUGCGUUCAUUUUCAAAUUUGCCGCGCGAGUAUCUAUGUAGCGUCGCGUGGUCAUUGGUCAUCACAUUUCAUUUUCAUCAUAGAAGAGUUUUUCAUAAGAUAACCGAUAACCUAAAAAUUUAGUAAAAAUUUUGAUUGGAAAAAAAUGCAUCGAUAAGGGGGUGUGGGAAAUGGAAAUUAGUGGCUUUUCUGCUGUACUGUCUGCUAGUCAAAUCACACAACACUUUUUUCUAUGCUGCUAGUUUUUGCUCUGGGCUCUGGCUGGAUCUCUUGUUUAAACAAUUUUAAUCAGCUGAAAGUGGCCUACAAAAAAAAAAAACAAGAAGGAAAUGUAUAGCCUUGUGGCUAUGAAAGGCAAAAGAGAGAUAUAAAAAGUGUAUUGGCUAGUUGGAAGAAAGUCCACAUUGUCCAUGCAUAAUAAGUUAUUACUUUAUCAACAAAUAUCAAGAAGAUAGCAGGGUCACGAGCAACAACUUCAUAAGUUCAAGAAUAUCGAGGAAAUCCAGCUCCUCGAUACUACUGGGCAAACUAGAAGAUUGAAGAGGACAAAGCCUUUUGAACUAGUUUGAGUGAUAGGUGAUAGUGAAAAACGGAGCAUAGUGCUUGUGUGCUGUGCCUGUGUAUGUUAGAAUAGUGCACGAUCUUGUUAGAUUAGAUAAGAGACGCUAUGGGGUAAGCUCUUCAUUUUAAGAAACAGUAGUAAUUUAGGUUAAAUUAAAAUUGCUCAUUGGUCAGUUAUGACCAGAUUGUUUUUUUAUGUUUGGCAAAAAGGACUUAAGUCAGAAUUGCACAUUGAUAAUGUUUUGAUGAUUUCUGGACCAGAAAAAAACUGUUGUAGAUGUAAACUGUAUGUACAGUAGAAUCUACUACAGUACUGUAGAAAUCAUCAAAACAUUAUCGAUGUGCAAUUCUGACUUAAGCCCUUUUUCCCAAACAUCAGAGAAUUGUAAUGUACAAUAAUUCUCCUAUCUGCUUUUUCAUGAAUUUUGUAGGAGAUGAAAAACCAUUUUUAGGAUCAUCUGCUUUCACAUGUAAAUUUUGACAUGUUUUGUAGUAAAUAGAUAGUUGAAUUUACUACAAAACAUGUCAAAAAAUAUAUGAAAACAGGAGGUGACUAUAAAAAAAGUUUUUAGUCUCUCUUACAAAACUCAUGAAAAAACAAAUCGGAGGUAUGUCACAUCAGUGACUAUAUCCAGGGAAUGUCCAAAUAUAACCUACAGUCCAUCUAAUUUACUUACUGUUGCAGGUCAUUAUCUACGCCAGAGAUCUAAGUUGACAUAGUUGCCAAAGUAUAAAAAGAUCCUGAAUCCAUUUUAAAUCAAAUAUAUCACAUAAUUAUUGUAAACGUGGAUUAUACAACAAAACAAAUUAAUAUUCAAUGUAAAUAAGUAAAAACUUAAGAAAUAGAGAACAAGAAUUAAGUUAUAAUCUUUUAAGAUUUGCAGUGCAAGAGUUUUUGCACUGCAUUGUUAAUAAUUAAAAAACGGCUCCGAACUCUUGGCAAAAAGCUGGUAGGUUUCUUUGUAUAAGUUUGUCUACAAUAACAACUAAAAAAGUUGUCAGAUACCUCGAUUAUUUCAAGUCGUUAUAAAAUUAGGUGAAAUUUAUAUUUUUAUAGUAGAGGAUCUUUUUAUAGUAAAGUAAAUAAUAAAAACAGUAAAUAUAAUAAAUAAAACAGAUACUUAUAGUAAAGAAUAUAAACAAAUAUGAAGUGUCAUCACCGUAACUGUCAAAUAAAUGUUACCAAUUUAUUCUAAAAUGUCACCUUCGUUCGAUUACAGUUACAGUGUGAUCCGAACAAAUCUGCUUCAUAAAAACGCUUUAUAAUCCAUUUAUACAAAUUAAAUGAAACAUAUUAUUGUGUAUUUCUUUAGGUUAACAUUAAUAGAAAUCUUCAAAUAUUAUUUCUACGCGUAUAUAAUAAAAUAUGUCUAGUGGCUGUAAUUCCAUUGUACUCGGCAAAGUGAUUCUAAAAAAGAACACACCUACCGCCUAAAUAUUUCAGUUAAAAUAAAUAACAGUUAGUAAAUUAGACGAAGUAUGUAGAUAUAUACAGGGUGUAACAAAAAUACAGGUCAUAAAUUUAAUCACAUAUUCUGGGACCAAAAAUAGUUUGAUUGGACCUAACUUACCUUAGUACAAAUGUGCACACAAGAAAAGUUACAGCCCUUUGAAGUUAUAUAUAUAUAUAUAUAUAUAUAUAUAUAUAUAUAUAUAUAUAUAUAUAUAUAUAUAUAUAUAUAUAAUAGCACUAAGGGCCUUAGAGGCCCAUGGCUUGAAAAGUUUGUUUUUUUCUUCAUUUUCACGUUUCUUUAUGUACUGAGAUCUUCUCUGGCUUGAUAUGUGAUUUUUCUCCAUUCCUUCCUGUUAUUCAUUUUUCUUUUCUGACCCUGUAGCACCAUUCUUUCCAAAUCUUUUUCGACCUCUUGCUUCCAUCUAUUUUUCGGCCUUCCUCUUCUCUUUCUUGAAGCUGUAGUGUAGUUUAGUACCAUUUUUGGAGUCCUCGUGUUUGGCAUCCUUUCAAUGUGACCUCGCCAUCUAAGUCUCUGUGCCUUUAUCACUCAUUUGAAGUUACAAGAUGAAGUGAUUUUUUCCAAUAUAUCGAAAACUAUUAGAGAUUUUUUAUUGAAAAUGGACAUGUGGCAUUAUUAUGGCAACAGUAUCUUACGAAAAAACUAUAGUAAAAUUUGGACACCCCAUAAAAAUAUUUCGGGGGUUUGUUCCUUUAAACCCCCCCAAACUUUUGUGCACGUUUCAAUUUAAUUAUUAUUGUAGUACCAUUUAAACACGUUUUAAAAACUUUUUUGCCUCUUAUUGCUUUUUCGAAAAGUCAAUUUUUAUCGAAAUAUUUUGAAUAUUUGUCAAAUCCACCACAUAUUUGUAUAUGGUUAAGUACGAUUAUGGAGACUUGGUAAUAAUAUGCAGACAUAUUUAUGCUUUACAUUUUUAGGUAUAUUUUGAACCAUAUUAAAAAAGAAGCCAGAUCUCGAUAAAAUGUGCCUUAUCGAAAAAAUACAAAGAGGCAAAAAAGUUUUAAAAACAUUCUGUUUAACUAAUGGUACCUCAGUAAUAGUUUAAUUGGAACGUACACAAACAUUUGGGGGGUUUAAAGGAACAAAACCCCCAUAAAAUUUUUAUGUAGACAUGUUAAAAAAGAAGUCGCAACUCGAUAAAAACUGCCUUAUCUGAAAAAUACUAAGAAACAAAAAUAUUGAAUUUAACUAAUGGUACCACAAUAAUAAAAUUGAAUUGGAACGUACACAAAAGUUUGGGAGGAUCUAAGGGAUCAAGACCCCCAUAAAAUUUUUAUGGGGUGAACAAAUUUCACCAUAAUUUUUCUUUAAGAUAUUCCUGCCAUAAUACUGCCACAUGUCCAUUUUCAAUAAAAAAUCGCUAAUAGUUUUCGAUAUAAUCGAAAAAAUCGAUUUUCAUUUUGUAAUUUCAAAGGGCUGUAACUUUUUUUAUGUGCAUAUUUGUACUAAGGUAAGUUAGGUUCAUUCGAACUAUUUUUGGUCCCAGAAUAUGUGAUUUAAUUUAUGACGUGUAUUUUUGUUACACCCUGUAUAUACAACCGAUUACGCACCACCUUAAAAAUUGGGCAUUUUUGAUGUCUCGAAUUUCCUAAACCUGUUGUUGCAUCUAAGUGAUUUUUUUAUAAUAUUCUAGCCUAGGCCCUAGGCUAUAGGUUAAGUACCUCCUUACGCUUGUCAUGCACGGGGAGCUAUACUGUAAUAUAUAUUAUAUCACAUCGCACUCUAUAGUAAUGAGUGAGCCUGCACAUACGGAACCAUUUGUUUCCUGUCUGCAGGCUCACUCAUUACUAUAGAGAGCGAUAUGAUAUAAUGUACAUAUAUUACAGCAUAGCUGCCUGUGCAUGACAAGCUUAAGGAGGUAACCUAUAGCCUAGGCUAUAAUAUUAUAAAAAAAUCACUUAGAUGAAACAACAGGUUUAGGAAAUAUGAGACAUCAAAAAUACCCCAUAUUUAAGGUGGUGCGUUAAUUUCUUGGAGAAGUGUAUUGUAAUUUAAUGUAAAUAAUGUAAUAUCCAAUAAUUGUAAUUUAAUAUAAGAUGUAAUAUAAGUUCCUUAAAAAAUAUAUUUUUUAUUUCCCACGACAUUAGAUGGAUGUUCGGCAGCAAGACAUUGGACCAAACUGGGACGUCCUACGAAGGCCAAUUGACGUCCACCGAACGUCCCUUCGGAUGUUAAGUGGACCUCCAUUGGGCGUUUGGCAACGUGGCAUUUGGACCAAAAUUGGACGUCCUGUUAAGGUCCAAUUCACGUCCCCUAGAACAUCCGGUUAAGGUCCAAUUUACUUCCGAUUAAGGUCCAAUUUACGUCCGAUUAAGGUCCCAUUUACGUCCGAUUAAGGUCCAAUUUACGUCCUAUUAAGGUCCAAUUUACGUCCGAUAAGGUCCAAUUUACGUCCGAUUAAGGUCCAAUUUACGUCCGAUUAAGGUCCCAUUUACGUCCGAUUAAGGUCCAAUUUACGUCCUAUUAAGGUCCAAUUUACGUCCUAUAAGGUCCAAUUUACGUCCGAUUAAGGUCCAAUUUACGUCCGAUUAAGGUCCAGUUUAUGUCCGAUUAAGGUCCAAUUUACGUCCGAUUAAGGUCCAAUUUACGUCCGAUUAAGGUCCAAUUUACGUCCGAUUAAGGUCCAAUUUACGUCCGAUUAAGGUCCAAUUUACGUCCCCUAGGACGUCCGAUCAACGUCCAAAUUACGUCCGAUUAAGGUCCAAUAUACGUCCCCUCGGACCUUAGAUGGACGUCCAAUGGACGUUCGGUAGCGCGACAUUUGGACCAAAAUAGGACGUAUAAAGGACGUUCCUCGGACGAAAACGGACGUCCAAUGGACGUCCCUAAAGUCCGUGAAGUACGUCCAAUGGACGUCCAUUGGACGUCCUUGU